GAUUACAAAAACCAUGGCAGCCUACAGUAGUUUUUAAGGGAACAUUUUCAGUGCACCCAUUGAUUAAAUAACAGAUGGGUUUGU
Molecule: long non-coding RNA, 84 nt
Organism: Myripristis murdjan (pinecone soldierfish)
Lineage: Eukaryota; Metazoa; Chordata; Actinopteri; Holocentriformes; Holocentridae
Exons: 3
Source: RefSeq, a predicted model, not a curated record